GGCGAAAGGAGUUCGGUUAGGUAGAUCAGUAGAUUGUGAAUCUAAAGGUCAUGGGUUCAAAUCCCAUCUUUCGCC
This 75-nucleotide transfer RNA is filed under the name Gracilariopsis mclachlanii. RNAcentral describes it as "tRNA-His". It matches the Rfam family "tRNA". Rfam says of the family: Transfer RNA (tRNA) molecules are approximately 80 nucleotides in length. Their secondary structure includes four short double-helical elements and three loops (D, anti-codon, and T loops). Lineage: Eukaryota; Rhodophyta; Florideophyceae; Gracilariales; Gracilariaceae. The record is from RNAcentral.